This 478-nucleotide ribosomal RNA is filed under the name uncultured bacterium. RNAcentral describes it as "partial 16S ribosomal RNA". It matches the Rfam family "Bacterial small subunit ribosomal RNA", at positions 28 to 523 of the family's 1533-position model. The record is from RNAcentral.
GACGAACGCUGGCGGCGUGCUUAACACAUGCAAGUCGAACGGUAAGGCCCUUCGGGGUACACGAGUGGCGAACGGGUGAGUAACACGUGGGUGAUCUGCCCUGCACUUCGGGAUAAGCCUGGGAAACUGGGUCUAAUACCGGAUAGGACCACUGCCUGCAUGGGUGGUGGUGGAAAGCUUUUGCGGUGUGGGAUGGGCCCGCGGCCUAUCAGCUUGUUGGUGGGGUGAUGGCCUACCAAGGCGACGACGGGUGGCCGGCCGGAGAGGGUGAUCGGCCACACUGGGACUGAGAUACGGCCCAGACUCCUACGGGAGGCAGCAGUGGGGAAGAUUGCACAAUGGGCGCAAGCCUGAUGCAGCGACGCCGCGUGAGGGAUGACGGCCUUCGGGUUGUAAACCUCUUUCAGCACCGACGAAGCGCAAGUGACGGUAGGUGCAGAAGAAGGACCGGCCAACUACGUGCCAGCCGCCGCGGUAA